RNAcentral lists this ribosomal RNA (585 nucleotides) under Triticum aestivum (bread wheat). RNAcentral describes it as "partial small subunit ribosomal RNA". The record is from RNAcentral. Lineage: Eukaryota; Viridiplantae; Streptophyta; Magnoliopsida; Poales; Poaceae.
AUGGCGGCGCCCAACCGGAGAGGUGGCAGCGGCCGGAAGAAGAUCGUCAUCCGCCGGAUCGAGCAGGAGGAUGCCCGGUUCGUCUGCUACUCCAAGCGCCGCCAGGGGUUCUUCAGCAAGGCCACGGAUUUGGCGGUCCUGACCGGCGCCCAGGUGGCCGCCCUCGCCUUCUCUCCCCGCGGCAGGGCCUUCUCCUUCGGCCACCCCUCCGUCGACUCCGUCGUGGAACGCUUCCUGGCGGGGGAGGCUGCGGGGGCUGGCGCGAGGGAGGAGGGCGCUGCCGACGACCGCUUGCUCGCGGGGGAGGGCGCUGCCGGCGAAGACGAGAAGCUCGAGAAGCUGCAGCAGGAGUUCGACGAGCUGCGCACGGAGCUGGCCGAGUUGAAGAAGCGGACCAAGCGCACGGACAAGGCCAUGGCGAAAGAGCGCUCUGCGGGGGACCAGAUAGCGGCUUGGUUCGACCCCAAGGCGCGCGACAUGGGAGACGAGGACAUGGCGGCCUUCUUCGCCGCGCUGAUGCAGAUGAAGGACGCGUCUGCGAUCGCGCCAACCAGGUUCUGCUCGAGGCGUUGCACGCCCACAUGA